RNAcentral lists this ribosomal RNA (484 nucleotides) under uncultured bacterium. RNAcentral describes it as "partial 16S ribosomal RNA". It matches the Rfam family "Bacterial small subunit ribosomal RNA", at positions 30 to 507 of the family's 1533-position model. The record is from RNAcentral.
AUUGAACGCUGGCGGCAGGCCUAACACAUGCAAGUCGAGCGGAUGAAGGGAGCUUGCUCCUGGAUUCAGCGGCGGACGGGUGAGUAAUGCCUAGGAAUCUGCCUGGUAGUGGGGGAUAACGUCCGGAAACGGGCGCUAAUACCGCAUACGUCCUGAGGGAGAAAUUGGGGGAUCUUCGGACCUCACGCUAUCAUAUGAGCCUAGGUCGGAUUAGCUAGUUGGUGGGGUAAAGGCCUACCAAGGCGACGAUCCGUAACUGGUCUGAGAGGAUGAUCAGUUAGAUGGGAACUGAGAAACGGUCCAGACUCCUACGGGAGGAAGCAGUCGGGAAUAUUGGACGAUGGGCGAAAGCCUGAUACAGCCAAGCCGCGUGUGGGAAGAAGGUCUUCGGAUUGUAAAGCACUGUAAGUUGGGAGGAAGGGAAGUAAGUUUAUACCUUGCUGUUUUGACGUUACCAACAGAAUAAGCACCGGCUAACUUCGUG